Long non-coding RNA from Centruroides sculpturatus (bark scorpion), 1023 nucleotides. RefSeq lists it as uncharacterized. NCBI's taxonomy places the organism in Eukaryota, Metazoa, Arthropoda, Arachnida, Scorpiones, Buthidae. The record is from RefSeq and is a predicted model, not a curated record. The transcript is spliced from 3 exons.
GUCCCGUCCUCCGCGCCGCUCCUCCCCGCGCCCGCCGGGCCCUCCCCGGACCGGGCGCCCGAACGGACGGGAAACGUUAAAUAGGCGGCGCCGAUCGCGGAAGAGAAAGAGAAGAGGAGAGACUCACCUGCAGCAGCAUGUCGCGGGUGUCGAGUCGACGAAGUCGCUGGAUGCCCUCGUGGAUGUCGUGCAGGCGUCGCAGGUUGUCCUCUGCAAAGAGAAACGAAUAGGGAUAUAUUUUCAAUCUAAGAAAUAGAACAGAAUAUUAAUAGAAUGGAAUGAAUUCAUUAUUAAACGAAUCUCUUGGCAAAUCAAUGUAUGCUGGAUAUUUACUAGAAAAAUUACAAAAUCAAAAACUAAUUCCUAAGCUUGAAAGAGGUGAAUGCGAGGUCAUGCCAACGGCUGGAAUUAUCUUUGGACAAUGAUAACUUUUAAUGGAUUGAAAAUUUUCCAAUAUGGUUGGUAUUUGACUUUUUUGUUCUAUUUCUAAAAUAAAUAACAAUUAGCAUAUUUUAUCAUAUUGUAUAAAAAGCAUUCUUGUAUAGUUAAUGAUCUAAAAGCAAAACAUAAAAAAGUUAUUGCUGAAUUUUAGUUUAUGGUGUAUACUUAAUAAAACUUUUUAACAUGUAACACUUUAACAUGUACUUUUAUAAAUACUUAAAGAAUGUAAGUAACUUUUCUAUUUUAUUCAGCUGAAAUAAACUUAUGACUCUAAUUAAGAAGGAAAACAAUGCUUGUUCUUUUCAAACUUAAUGAAGUAAAUAAACUUUCAACAUAUUAUUUGCAUAUUUAACCUUAUAACUUCAACUACAUACAGAAGGCCUUAACUUCCAAAAAAUACUUAAAUUCUAAUAUUUUUGGCAUGCUUUAUACCAUUCUCAAGCCAUCAUGUAGGAAAUAGAUUAGGAUUAUCUGUUAUUCUGUUCUAUUUCCUAUGUGCCAUGUUCGUAGGUGAAAAAUUAGCAGUUAAAUAGUAUUUUUCUGUAAAUUUUAGCCUUUUAUAAAUUAAUUAAAAAAUUACAU